GGCCACGACGCCUAAAGGCUUUUAAAGAACUCGGGAAAACAACCCACCCAAACCCCACCCGACCCCGUCCUGACCUGCGUCACUCACACGGGUGACAUAUGACAACUGAGCUGGAUUUGGCCCGGGUUGGCUGGCAUAUGCUCGCCGCGACAACCACAGAACGAGACGGCCCCCGGCGAGACGCGAAUCUCAACCAGGGGCCUGACCACCGAGGAAGUAGCCCUUCCCA
Molecule: non-coding RNA, 229 nt
Filed under: Streptomyces sp. CB02488
Lineage: Bacteria; Bacillati; Actinomycetota; Actinomycetes; Kitasatosporales; Streptomycetaceae
Description: Streptomyces sRNA 4677
Rfam family: Streptomyces sRNA 4677
About the family: Located in the intergenic region between anti-sigma factor SCO4677 gene and a putative regulatory protein gene SCO4676. scr4677 expression requires the SCO4677 activity and scr4677 sRNA itself seem to affect the levels of the SCO4676-associated transcripts.
Source: Rfam by way of RNAcentral